GAUGAACGCUGGCGGCGUGCCUAAUACAUGCAAGUCGAGCGAACAGACGAGGAGCUUGCUCCUCUGACGUUAGCGGCGGACGGGUGAGUAACACGUGGAUAACCUACCUAUAAGACUGGGAUAACUUCGGGAAACCGGAGCUAAUACCGGAUAAUAUAUUGAACCGCAUGGUUCAAUAGUGAAAGACGGUUUUGCUGUCACUUAUAGAUGGAUCCGCGCCGCAUUAGCUAGUUGGUAAGGUAACGGCUUACCAAGGCGACGAUGCGUAGCCGACCUGAGAGGGUGAUCGGCCACACUGGAACUGAGACACGGUCCAGACUCCUACGGGAGGCAGCAGUAGGGAAUCUUCCGCAAUGGGCGAAAGCAUGACGGAGCAACGCCGCGUGAGUGAUGAAGGUCUUCGGAUCGUAAAACUCUGUUAUUAGGGAAGAACAAAUGUGUAAGUAACUAUGCACGUCUUGACGGUACCUAAUCAGAAAGCCACGGCUAACUACGUG
RNAcentral lists this ribosomal RNA (497 nucleotides) under uncultured bacterium. RNAcentral's name for it is "partial 16S ribosomal RNA". It matches the Rfam family "Bacterial small subunit ribosomal RNA", at positions 28 to 507 of the family's 1533-position model. The record is from RNAcentral.